Molecule: ribosomal RNA, 512 nt
Filed under: uncultured bacterium
Lineage: Bacteria
Description: partial 16S ribosomal RNA
Rfam family: Bacterial small subunit ribosomal RNA
Source: RNAcentral
GAUGAACGCUGGCGGCGUGCCUAAUACAUGCAAGUCGAACGAAACUUCUUUAUCACCGAGUGCUUGCACUCACCGAUAAAGAGUUGAGUGGCGAACGGGUGAGUAACACGUGGGCAACCUGCCCAAAAGAGGGGGAUAACACUUGGAAACAGGUGCUAAUACCGCAUAACCAUAGUUACCGCAUGGUAACUAUGUAAAAGGUGGCUAUACUACCGCUUUUGGAUGGGCCCGCGGCGCAUUAGCUAGUUGGUAGGGUAAAGGCUUACCAAGGCAAUGAUGCGUAGCCGAAUUGAGAGGUUGAUCGGCCACAUUGGGACUGAGACACGGCCCAAACUCCUACGGGAGGCGGCAGUAGGGAAUCUUCCACAAUGGGCGAAAGCCUGAUGGAGCAACGCCGCGUGGGUGAAGAAGGUCUUCGGAUCGUAAAACCCUGUUGUUAGAGAAGAAAGUGCGUGAGAGUAACUGUUCACGUUUCGACGGUAUCUAACCAGAAAGCCACGGCUAACUACGUG